UACGUAGGGGCCGAGCGUUGUUCGGAUUCAUUGGGCGUAAAGGGUGCGUAGGCGGCGCGGUAAGUCGGGUGUGAAAUCUCGGAGCUUAACUCCGAAACUGCAUUCGAUACUGCCGUGCUUGAGGACUGGAGAGGAGACUGGAAUUUACGGUGUAGCGGUGAAAUGCGUAGAUAUCGUAAGGAAGACCAGUGGCGAAGGCGGGUCUCUGGACAGUUCCUGACGCUGAGGCACGAAGGUCAGGGGAGCAAACGGG
This 253-nucleotide ribosomal RNA is filed under the name uncultured bacterium. Its description in RNAcentral is "partial 16S ribosomal RNA". It matches the Rfam family "Bacterial small subunit ribosomal RNA", at positions 524 to 776 of the family's 1533-position model. The record is from RNAcentral.